This 301-nucleotide ribosomal RNA is filed under the name uncultured bacterium. RNAcentral describes it as "partial 16S ribosomal RNA". It matches the Rfam family "Bacterial small subunit ribosomal RNA", at positions 509 to 809 of the family's 1533-position model. The record is from RNAcentral.
CAGUAGCCGCGGUAAUACAGAGGGUGCAAGCGUUAAUCGGAAUUACUGGGCGUAAAGCGAGCGUAGGUGGUUUGUUAAGUUGGAUGUGAAAUCCCCGGGCUCAACCUGGGAACUGCAUCCAAAACUGGCAAGCUAGAGUAUGGUAGAGGGUGGUGGAAUUUCCUGUGUAGCGGUGAAAUGCGUAGAUAUAGGAAGGAACACCAGUGGCGAAGGCGACCACCUGGACUGAUACUGACACUGAGGUGCGAAAGCGUGGGGAGCAAACAGGAUUAGAUACCCCAGUAGUCCCUGUCUCUUAUAA